UACGUAGGGGGCUAGCGUUGUCCGGAAUCAUUGGGCGUAAAGCGCGUGUAGGCGGCCCGGUAAGUCCGCUGUGAAAGUCGGGGGCUCAACCCUCGGAAGCCGGUGGAUACUGUCGGGCUCGAGUACGGAAGAGGCGAGUGGAAUUCCUGGUGUAGCGGUGAAAUGCGCAGAUAUCAGGAGGAACACCUAUUGCGAAGGCAGCUCGCUGGGACGUUACUGACGCUGAGGAGCGAAAGCGUGGGGAGCGAACAGG
This 253-nucleotide ribosomal RNA is filed under the name uncultured bacterium. Its description in RNAcentral is "partial 16S ribosomal RNA". It matches the Rfam family "Bacterial small subunit ribosomal RNA", at positions 524 to 776 of the family's 1533-position model. The record is from RNAcentral.